RNAcentral lists this long non-coding RNA (315 nucleotides) under Elaeis guineensis (African oil palm). Its description in RNAcentral is "long non-coding RNA (EGUI_LNC045207)". Lineage: Eukaryota; Viridiplantae; Streptophyta; Magnoliopsida; Arecales; Arecaceae. The record is from RNAcentral.
CCCUAUUAGCCAGCUGCCUCUGGAGAUGAACGACCUCGUCAGCCGCCGUCCGGAAUCUCCCUUUGUACUCUUUCACUUGCCGGCGCCAGCUGGCCCGCUGCACAUCGUGGCUCAUCUCGGCGUCUUGAAGCUGCUUCUGAAGGUCGGAGACCCUCUGCGACCACUUCUGUUCAUCAUCAACCCGGGCCAAGAGCCGGGAUGAGUUUCCCUCCAGCUGGCCGAUCUUCCUCUUCGCAGCUGAUAGUUCGACCUUAAGGGCGCUGAUCCUGGCUUCUUGAGCCCAAAUUCGGUUGCUGGUGCUUUUCUUGCAUUNNN